AGAGUUUGAUCCUGGCUCAGGAUGAACGCUAGCUACAGGCUUAACACAUGCAAGUCGAGGGGAAACGACAUCGAAAGCUUGCUUUUGAUGGGCGUCGACCGGCGCACGGGUGAGUAACGCGUAUCCAACCUGCCCAUCACUUGGGGAUAACCUUGCGAAAGUAAGACUAAUACCCAAAUGGCGUCUCUAGAAGACAUCUGAAAGAGAUUAAAGAUUUAUCGGUGAUGGAUGGGGAUGCGUCUGAUUAGCUUGUUGGCGGGGUAACGGCCCGACCAAGGCGACGAUCAGUAGGGGUUCUGAGAGGAAGGUCCCCACAUUGGAACUGGAGACACGGUCCAAAACUCCUACGGGAGGCA
This 356-nucleotide ribosomal RNA is filed under the name uncultured bacterium. Its description in RNAcentral is "bacterial SSU rRNA". It matches the Rfam family "Bacterial small subunit ribosomal RNA", at positions 8 to 350 of the family's 1533-position model. The record is from RNAcentral.